UACAGAGGGUGCAAGCGUUAAUCGGAUUUACUGGGCGUAAAGCGUGUGUAGGUGGUCGCGUAAGUCGGUUGUGAAAUCCCUGGGCUCAACCUGGGAAUUGCAGUCGAUACUGCGUGACUCGAGUUCGGUAGAGGGCGACGGAAUUCCCGGUGUAGCGGUGAAAUGCGUAGAUAUCGGGAGGAACAUCGAUGGCGAAGGCAAUCGCCUGGGCCUGAACUGACACUGAGACACGAAAGCGUGGGUAGCAAACAGG
This 253-nucleotide non-coding RNA is filed under the name uncultured bacterium. RNAcentral's name for it is "partial 16S ribosomal RNA". It matches the Rfam family "Bacterial small subunit ribosomal RNA", at positions 524 to 776 of the family's 1533-position model. RNAcentral also lists the same sequence under 1 other name. The record is from RNAcentral.